Molecule: ribosomal RNA, 253 nt
Filed under: uncultured bacterium
Lineage: Bacteria
Description: partial 16S ribosomal RNA
Rfam family: Bacterial small subunit ribosomal RNA
Source: RNAcentral
UACGAACUGUGCGAACGUUAUUCGGAAUCACUGGGCUUACAGGGUGCGUAGGCGGCUAUUCAGGUCAGGUGUGAAAGCCCCCGGCUCAACUGGGGAGGGUCACGCGAUACUGGUCGACUCGAAGGCAGGAGAGGGUAGUGGAAUUCCCGGUGUAGUGGUGAAAUGCGUAGAUAUCGGGAGGAACACCAGUGGCGAAGGCGACUACCUGGUCUGUUCUUGACGCUGAGGCGCGAAAGCUAGGGGAGCAAACGGG